Long non-coding RNA from Xiphophorus couchianus (Monterrey platyfish), 272 nucleotides. RefSeq lists it as uncharacterized. The record is from RefSeq and is a predicted model, not a curated record. The transcript has 2 exons. NCBI's taxonomy places the organism in Eukaryota, Metazoa, Chordata, Actinopteri, Cyprinodontiformes, Poeciliidae.
CGACCGGCGCCUGGUUCUGCUGGUUCUGGUCGGACGGCAGCCUGUUGGCGGCGUUUUCUUCCAGCAGGGGGUGCUCCAGCUCGUCUCUGUUCUCCAUUAAAGACGAACCGCUCCAGAGGCCGCAUCAACAGGCAAACCGCCGGGUCCAGAGGAAAAAAAGCACAUGACGAAUUCAUCCCAGCACCUGAAAGUUGUGUUGGAUUAUUGGAGAAGCUUUGGUCUCAAAUUUUGUUCUCAAACAGUAAAAAGUGGCAAUAAUGGUUAUUGAUAAA